GCGGGGGUUGCCAAGUGGUCAAAGGCGCAGGGCUUAGGACCCUGUCCUGCAGAGGUUCGUGGGUUCGAAUCCCAUCCCCCGCACCA
This 86-nucleotide transfer RNA is filed under the name Methanothrix sp. RNAcentral's name for it is "tRNA-Leu". It matches the Rfam family "tRNA". Rfam says of the family: Transfer RNA (tRNA) molecules are approximately 80 nucleotides in length. Their secondary structure includes four short double-helical elements and three loops (D, anti-codon, and T loops). Further hydrogen bonds mediate the characteristic L-shaped molecular structure. tRNAs have two regions of fundamental functional importance: the anti-codon, which is responsible for specific mRNA codon recognition, and the 3' end, to which the tRNAs corresponding amino acid is attached (by aminoacyl-tRNA synthetases). tRNAs cope with the degeneracy of the genetic code in two manners: having more than one tRNA (with a specific anti-codon) for a particular amino acid; and 'wobble' base-pairing, i.e. permitting non-standard base-pairing at the 3rd anti-codon position. RNAcentral also lists the same sequence under 3 other names. Lineage: Archaea; Methanobacteriati; Methanobacteriota; Methanomicrobia; Methanotrichales; Methanotrichaceae. The record is from RNAcentral.